UAUUCUGCCCCAUGGGGAAGGAUGAGAAGCUUCGACUAAGGUUCGACUCGAGCGCCAGCGAGAGAACGUUGCCGCCGGCAACGGCCCGAAGGGCGAGGCGCUUUAGCGCCGAGUAAUCCUUCCCCCACCACCA
RNAcentral lists this small RNA (133 nucleotides) under Klebsiella pneumoniae. RNAcentral's name for it is "RtT sRNA". It matches the Rfam family "RtT RNA". From Rfam's summary of the family: This family represents a bacterial cis-regulatory element known as RtT RNA. The exact function of RtT is unknown although it is thought that it may be involved in changing the cellular response in relation to amino acid starvation. Lineage: Bacteria; Pseudomonadati; Pseudomonadota; Gammaproteobacteria; Enterobacterales; Enterobacteriaceae. The record is from RNAcentral. RNAcentral also lists the same sequence under 1 other name.